GUUAUAUGGUCAAGUGAAGAAGCGCAUACGGUGGAUGCCUUGGCAGUCAGAGGCGAUGAAAGACGUGGUAGCCUGCGAAAAGCUUCGGGGAGUCGGCAAACAGACUGUGAUCCGGAGAUGUCUGAAUGGGGGAACCCAGCCAUCAUAAGAUGGUUAUCUUGUACUGAAUACAUAGGUGCAAGAGGCGAACCAGGGGAACUGAAACAUCUAAGUACCCUGAGGAAAAGAAAUCAACCGAGAUUCCCUUAGUAGUGGCGAGCGAACGGGGACCAGCCCUUAAGUUGUAUUGAGAUUAGCGGAACGUUCUGGAAAGGACGGCCAUAGUGGGUGAUAGCCCUGUACGCGAAAAUCCCUUUGCAAUGAAAUCGAGUAGGACGGGGCACGAGAAACCUUGUCUGAAUAUGGGGGGACCAUCCUCCAAGGCUAAAUACUACUGACUGACCGAUAGUGAACCAGUACCGUGAGGGAAAGGCGAAAAGAACCGCGGAGAGCGGAGUGAAAUAGAUCCUGAAACCGUAUGCGUACAAGCAGUGGGAGCCCACUUUGUUGGGUGACUGCGUACCUUUUGUAUAAUGGGUCAGCGACUUAUUUUCAGUGGCGAGCUUAACCGAAUAGGGGAGGCGUAGCGAAAGCGAGUCUUAAUAGGGCGUCUAGUCGCUGGGAAUAGACCCGAAACCGGGCGAUCUAUCCAUGGGCAGGUUGAAGGUUGGGUAACACUAACUGGAGGACCGAACCGACUACCGUUGAAAAGUUAGCGGAUGACCUGUGGAUCGGAGUGAAAGGCUAAUCAAGCUCGGAGAUAGCUGGUUCUCCUCGAAAGCUAUUUAGGUAGCGCCUCAUGUAUCACUGUAGGGGGUAGAGCACUGUUUCGGCUAGGGGGUCAUCCCGACUUACCAAACCGAUGCAAACUCCGAAUACCUACAAGUGCCGAGCAUGGGAGACACACGGCGGGUGCUAACGUCCGUCGUGAAAAGGGAAACAACCCAGACCGUCAGCUAAGGUCCCAAAGUCAUGGUUAAGUGGGAAACGAUGUGGGAAGGCUUAGACAGCUAGGAGGUUGGCUUAGAAGCAGCCACCCUUUAAAGAAAGCGUAAUAGCUCACUAGUCGAGUCGGCCUGCGCGGAAGAUGUAACGGGGCUCAAACCAUGCACCGAAGCUACGGGUAUCAUCUUAUGAUGAUGCGGUAGAGGAGCGUUCUGUAAGCCUGUGAAGGUGAGUUGAGAAGCUUGCUGGAGGUAUCAGAAGUGCGAAUGCUGACAUGAGUAACGACAAUGGGUGUGAAAAACACCCACGCCGAAAGACCAAGGUUUCCUGCGCAACGUUAAUCGACGCAGGGUUAGUCGGUCCCUAAGGCGAGGCUGAAAAGCGUAGUCGAUGGAAAACAGGUUAAUAUUCCUGUACUUCUGGUUAUUGCGAUGGAGGGACGGAGAAGGCUAGGCCAGCCUGGCGUUGGUAGUCCAGGUUUAAGGUGGUAGGCUGAGAUCUUAGGUAAAUCCGGGAUCUUAAGGCCGAGAGCUGAUGACGAGUGUUCUUUUAGAACACGAAGUGGUUGAUGCCAUGCUUCCAAGAAAAGCUUCUAAGCUUCAGGUAACCAGGAACCGUACCCCAAACCGACACAGGUGGUUGGGUAGAGAAUACCAAGGCGCUUGAGAGAACUCGGGUGAAGGAACUAGGCAAAAUGGCACCGUAACUUCGGGAGAAGGUGCGCCGGUGGAGGUGAAGCAUUUACUGCGUAAGCCCCUGCCGGUCGAAGAUACCAGGCCGCUGCGACUGUUUAUUAAAAACACAGCACUCUGCAAACACGAAAGUGGACGUAUAGGGUGUGACGCCUGCCCGGUGCCGGAAGGUUAAUUGAUGGGGUUAGCGCAAGCGAAGCUCUUGAUCGAAGCCCCGGUAAACGGCGGCCGUAACUAUAACGGUCCUAAGGUAGCGAAAUUCCUUGUCGGGUAAGUUCCGACCUGCACGAAUGGCGUAACGAUGGCGGCGCUGUCUCCACCCGAGACUCAGUGAAAUUGAAAUCGCUGUGAAGAUGCAGUGUAUCCGCGGCUAGACGGAAAGACCCCGUGAACCUUUACUAUAGCUUUGCACUGGACUUUGAAUUUGCUUGUGUAGGAUAGGUGGGAGGCUUUGAAGCGUGGACGCCAGUCUGCGUGGAGCCAACCUUGAAAUACCACCCUGGCAACUUUGAGGUUCUAACUCAGGUCCGUUAUCCGGAUCGAGGACAGUGUAUGGUGGGUAGUUUGACUGGGGCGGUCUCCUCCUAAAGAGUAACGGAGGAGUACGAAGGUGCGCUCAGACCGGUCGGAAAUCGGUCGUAGAGUAUAAAGGCAAAAGCGCGCUUGACUGCGAGACAGACACGUCGAGCAGGUACGAAAGUAGGUCUUAGUGAUCCGGUGGUUCUGUAUGGAAGGGCCAUCGCUCAACGGAUAAAAGGUACUCCGGGGAUAACAGGCUGAUACCGCCCAAGAGUUCAUAUCGACGGCGGUGUUUGGCACCUCGAUGUCGGCUCAUCACAUCCUGGGGCUGAAGCCGGUCCCAAGGGUAUGGCUGUUCGCCAUUUAAAGUGGUACGCGAGCUGGGUUUAGAACGUCGUGAGACAGUUCGGUCCCUAUCUGCCGUGGACGUUUGAGAUUUGAGAGGGGCUGCUCCUAGUACGAGAGGACCGGAGUGGACGAACCUCUGGUGUUCCGGUUGUCACGCCAGUGGCAUUGCCGGGUAGCUAUGUUCGGAAAAGAUAACCGCUGAAAGCAUCUAAGCGGGAAACUUGCCUCAAGAUGAGAUCUCACUGGAACCUUGAGUUCCCUAAAGGGCCGUCGAAGACUACGACGUUGAUAGGUUGGGUGUGUAAGCGCUGUGAGGCGUUGAGCUAACCAAUACUAAUUGCCCGUGAGGCUUGACCAUAUAACACCCAAGCAAUU
RNAcentral lists this ribosomal RNA (2918 nucleotides) under Pseudomonas syringae pv. syringae. RNAcentral describes it as "bacterial LSU rRNA". It matches the Rfam family "Bacterial large subunit ribosomal RNA". Lineage: Bacteria; Pseudomonadati; Pseudomonadota; Gammaproteobacteria; Pseudomonadales; Pseudomonadaceae. The record is from RNAcentral.